Non-coding RNA from Triticum aestivum (bread wheat), 135 nucleotides. The record is from Rfam. Lineage: Eukaryota; Viridiplantae; Streptophyta; Magnoliopsida; Poales; Poaceae.
UUUCUACUCCCUCCGUCCGAAAAUACUUGUCAUCAAAAUGGAUAAAAUAAGAUAUAUCAAAAGUUAAAAUACAUCUAGACACAUUUCCUUUUAUCCAUUUUGAUGACAAGUAUUUUCGGACGUAGGGAGUAUUUG